Molecule: unclassified non-coding RNA, 396 nt
Filed under: soil metagenome
Description: partial contains 5.8S ribosomal RNA, internal transcribed spacer 2, and large subunit ribosomal RNA
Rfam family: 5.8S ribosomal RNA (bases 1-121)
Source: RNAcentral
GAUGAAGAACGUAGCGAAUUGCGAUAAGUAAUGUGAAUUGCAGAUUUUCAGUGAAUCAUCGAAUCUUUGAACGCACCUUGCGCCUUUUGGUAUUCCGAAAGGCACACCUGUUUGAGCGACAUGAAUACCUCAAUCUCCAUCUUUUCUUCGGAUUGAUGGGUGACUUGGAUGUUGAGCCCUGCUGGUAUGCUAUAUCAGCUGGCUUUAAACUUAUUAGCCGGCUCUGUACUGGAUCGGUUUGACUCGACGUGAUAAUAUUAUCGUUGAGGAUGCAUGUCUCAUGCAGCCGGAAAGUAUCAAAGCAGCUUCUAGCUUGCCUUUAGUGCACUUUUACAUUUUAGACCUCAGAUCAGGUGGGACUACCCGCUGAACUUAAGCAUAUCAAUAAGCGGAGGA